This 20-nucleotide small nuclear RNA is filed under the name Arabidopsis thaliana (thale cress). RNAcentral describes it as "snRNA_06689". Lineage: Eukaryota; Viridiplantae; Streptophyta; Magnoliopsida; Brassicales; Brassicaceae. The record is from RNAcentral.
AAACAGGAUUCGAGUUCUAU